Molecule: long non-coding RNA, 1676 nt
Organism: Patella vulgata (common limpet)
Lineage: Eukaryota; Metazoa; Mollusca; Gastropoda; Patellidae
Exons: 5
Source: RefSeq, a predicted model, not a curated record
AGUAAUUAACAAUUAGAAAUGGUCGCGUGAUUAAUUGAUCAUUAAUAUGUUGAAAGAAAAGUGAUCAGGUGAUUUGAAGCGUGUCAGCUUGGUCUGUGUGAGAUAUAACGUCCGCUUCCAUACAAGGUGUUAUCUCUAAUGUGAAGUCUAGCUGUCAGUCUUGAUUAAACCUUGCCAGUCGACUGACUGAUCUGUCAUCAUAUUACUUCGCGUGAACAGUCACAGCCAAGUUGUCUGUCUCUUCUACCAAUAUUUCAAGUGGUAUUUAAACCCGGUUGCGGAAUUUUAUGUCAUCAUUUGCUGUAUUUACAUCUAGUAAUUGUAGUAAUAGAAAGAUUGUGCCGCUUUUUGUCAGCAAACAGUCGAGAAAAGCCACCAUAAUUACUGGAUUUUAUCAUUUUACCGUAAAUUAAAAAAUGGACGGAUUUUCUUCGAUGUCACCUUUGUUAUCCAAAUGUGAAAAAUUUGAUUAUUCUGAUUCUGAAGAUUCUGUGACAUCAUCAGGUUAUGACUCGGCAGUUUUAAGUGUUGGAAAUUGGAGUGAUUCCGAAAUCGAGUCCGAAGAUGAAGAAGCUUUUAACUCCGAUGAUAUGGCGGAUAUGAUGAUUUUUGAAAACACCAAGCCUAUAACUAAUACAAUGGAGUACAUACUAUCAAUGCCAUCAUUAUGUGAUGUUGUUUUUAUGGUGGGAGAGGAUGAGUCCAUAAUACGAGGACUAAAAGCCGUACUUGCUUCAAGGAACAGAAUAUUUUACGACAUGUUGAUGAAGAAGGACGAGAUUGAAUCGCAAGAGACCGCUGAAUCGACGAAAAGAUCCAAAACAUCCCGAUUUCUCAAAUUUAAAAAGAAGUCCCGAAAAUCCCACCAGGAUAUUGAGAAGAAACUAACUGUGGUGAUAAAGGAUUACGAUUUUAAUGUUUUCAGCAGAUUGAUAUCGUUUUUACAUCUUGGUCAAGUUUCUGUUACACCAGACACAGUUGUAGGUUUGAUGUGUGCUGCAGAUGAAUUUAAUAUACCAGAACUUCAGAAGGCAUGUUGGGAUUUCUGUUUUCGUUGUCUGGAUAACGGUAAUAUAGCCACCAUCGUCCAGUCGUCACAAUUUUACAGAGGAAGACUGGCCGCUGACGAUCUCAUGUUUAAGUUAGUUGGUAUGAUGGGAGGACCAAAGACUACAAGUGUGUGAAGUGAAGCAUUGAAGAUUUAGGAUAAAGCUUACACCGUGGAUGAACGUAAGACCACGUGGAAAUCCGUCACAAUGAUUCUAUAUUUUUGAAACAGACUGUUUUACAUAAAAGGAUAUGGUGGGUUUUCUGUCGUUACACAAUAAGCAAGGAAAAGUAUAAUUGUGUGCGAAGCACGCGUCUUUUAAGGUAUAGACUUAAAGGGAGGCAACUCUAUCUCCUCUCGGACGCUGACGUGCUUUGAAAAGCGAUGUUUAAUGAAGAACCGAGACUGCAUGAGUAUGGAAUACGGACAAAAAUGUUUAAUCUUCAUUUACUUGUAUAAACAAUAUUUUAUUUACCCCCACGUUCCCUCACCCCCACCCCAGAUGUUAUCGUAUGUAGAUGAUGUAAAAUGGUGUGCAUAUAUAGUGCUAUUAUUGUAUGUAAAUAAUGUAUUUAGACAAAGAGCAUCAUUUGUGCUUUUUGAGAUCAAUAAUGUUAUUAUUUGUGUU